AUGAUGGACGACCCGCCGCCCUCCUCGCGGCACCGGCUUCCCGUGCCGCCGCCGCCGCCGCCGCCGCCGCUGCUUCUGCUUCUGUUGCUGGUCUCCGUCUCCUGCUCGCUCGCCCACGGCAGCCCAGCGGUUGGAGGAGGACUCGGUGCAGAGGAAUGGGGCGCGACUAGGGAUGCCGCUUCCGUUGAACUCAGAAAUUCGCAUCCGAGAAGACUACUGCAGGUAGGCGGUGGAAACCACCUCCCACCACAGUUCCUGCAACCGAGGCACAGGCAUCACAGAAGAGCACCCUCGCCUGCUCCGUCGCCCUCGCCAUUCACCGCUCCAUCACCAUCGCCUUCAGCUUUUCGCCCAUCGCUAGCCCCUCCACAUUUCGUCAGGCCUCUGCCUUCCACCCCACAGCCAAGUCAUGAUCCUCAAGUUGGUGCCCCAGUCAACCCUUUGCAUAGGCAUUCCUGGAGAGCCUACGGUUUGGUCACGGCAGGUGGUGCGGCUCUCCUUGUCAUGGCAGCGGCGUUUGCUGUAUACUGCCGGGCGAAGAAAGUGGGUACUGUGAGGCCUUGGGUCACAGGGUUAAGCGGGCAGCUGCAGCGAGCAUUUGUGACAGGUGUACCUUCCUUGAAGCGGUCAGAGCUGGAAGCAGCCUGUGAGGAUUUCAGCAAUAUAAUUGGUUCUACGGCUAACUGCAUGUUGUAUAAGGGAACAUUGUCAAGCGGAGUCGAAAUAGCGGUUGUGUCAAGUUUAAUAUCGUCUAAGAAUGAUUGGCCAAAAGAAUGUGAAUCCCAGUACAGGAAAAAGAUCUCAAGUUUAUCCAAAGUGGGCCACAAGAACUUCAUCAAUCUGCUUGGCUACUGUGAAGAAGAAAAUCCUUUCACCAGAGCUAUGGUGUUUGAAUAUGCUCCGAACGGGACUCUUUUCGAGCAUCUCCAUGUUAGAGAAGCUGAGAAUCUGGACUGGAUGGCCCGACUUAGAAUAUCGAUGGGGAUAGCAUACUGUCUCGAGCAAAUGCACAAGCUGAAUCCACCCGUCGUGCCAAGGAGCUUCGGCUCAACAACUAUCCACCUCACUGAUGAUUUUGCCGCAAAGGUUUCAGAUCUUGAUUUCUGGAAUGGCACCAAGGGAUCUGAUUCGGUCACCGACGACUGCACCAUGUUGGACACGGAGAGCAUCGUGCAUCAGUACGGCAUUAUACUGCUGGAGAUAUUAACCGGGAGAGUACCCUUCCCUGAGCAAGAUCUGCCACUGGAACAGUGGGCGUCCAUCUAUUUUGAAGGCAAGAUGCCUCUUGCAGAGCUGAUGGACUCGAGCCUGGGCUCCUUCCCUGAGGAAACCGCGCGCGCGUUGUGCGACGUCGCGAGGUCCUGCGUCGACCCGGACCCGAGCAAGAGACCGCGGAUGGCGCAGGUGGCGGCGCAGAUGAAGGAGAUCACGGCGGUGGGGCCUGAGGGCGCGACCCCGAAGGUGUCGCCGCUGUGGUGGGCUGAGCUUGAGAUCAUGUCUGCUGAGGCUACCUGA
Molecule: ribosomal RNA, 1515 nt
Filed under: Triticum aestivum (bread wheat)
Lineage: Eukaryota; Viridiplantae; Streptophyta; Magnoliopsida; Poales; Poaceae
Description: partial small subunit ribosomal RNA
Source: RNAcentral